AAAAUGGCAGAGCUCACAGGUCAUACCUGGAGAGUCCUAUCUAUGACCCAGAGUCCCGAUGGUUGCACGGUUGCUUCAGUGGCAGGAGAUGAAACGCUCAGGCUCUGGAAUGUUUUCGGGGAUCCAAAGGCAAUUACAAAAGCUGCUGCUAAACCCAAUCCCAAGCCUUUUUCCCAUGUGAGGCAUCAUAUACGGUGAAGACGAGAGUUAGAUUUGUACAGAUACGUACACCUCCUGGUAUUCAGGUACAGAUAGAUGAUGCAUGGAGGUUUGUGUAUAUUUUCACUGGAAGCUCGGGUGUGCUUUGACUCUUCACUUUUAUAUCCAAAUGUAACAGAGAAUGUGCUAUAGCCCAUAGCUAUAUGAUGACAACUAUGUUAUAAC
Molecule: long non-coding RNA, 384 nt
Organism: Tarenaya hassleriana
Lineage: Eukaryota; Viridiplantae; Streptophyta; Magnoliopsida; Brassicales; Cleomaceae
Exons: 2
Source: RefSeq, a predicted model, not a curated record